AAAUUGAAGAGUUUGAUCAUGGCUCAGAUUGAACGCUGGCGGCAGGCCUAACACAUGCAAGUCGAACGGUAACAGGAAGCAGCUUGCUGUUUCGCUGACGAGUGGCGGACGGGUGAGUAAUGUCUGGGAAACUGCCUGAUGGAGGGGGAUAACUACUGGAAACGGUAGCUAAUACCGCAUAACGUCGCAAGACCAAAGAGGGGGACCUUCGGGCCUCUUGCCAUCGGAUGUGCCCAGAUGGGAUUAGCUAGUAGGUGGGGUAACGGCUCACCUAGGCGACGAUCCCUAGCUGGUCUGAGAGGAUGACCAGCCACACUGGAACUGAGACACGGUCCAGACUCCUACGGGAGGCAGCAGUGGGGAAUAUUGCACAAUGGGCGCAAGCCUGAUGCAGCCAUGCCGCGUGUAUGAAGAAGGCCUUCGGGUUGUAAAGUACUUUCAGCGGGGAGGAAG
RNAcentral lists this ribosomal RNA (453 nucleotides) under Escherichia coli. Its description in RNAcentral is "bacterial SSU rRNA". It matches the Rfam family "Bacterial small subunit ribosomal RNA", at positions 1 to 450 of the family's 1533-position model. Lineage: Bacteria; Pseudomonadati; Pseudomonadota; Gammaproteobacteria; Enterobacterales; Enterobacteriaceae. The record is from RNAcentral.